This 73-nucleotide transfer RNA is filed under the name Spirochaetota bacterium. RNAcentral's name for it is "Spirochaetes bacterium tRNA-Ala". It matches the Rfam family "tRNA". Rfam says of the family: Transfer RNA (tRNA) molecules are approximately 80 nucleotides in length. Their secondary structure includes four short double-helical elements and three loops (D, anti-codon, and T loops). The record is from RNAcentral. Lineage: Bacteria; Pseudomonadati; Spirochaetota.
GGGGCCAUAGCUCAGUUGGGAGAGCGCGACAAUGGCAUUGUCGAGGUGGUCGGUUCGAAGCCGACUGGCUCCA